RNAcentral lists this ribosomal RNA (468 nucleotides) under uncultured bacterium. Its description in RNAcentral is "partial 16S ribosomal RNA". It matches the Rfam family "Bacterial small subunit ribosomal RNA", at positions 28 to 507 of the family's 1533-position model. The record is from RNAcentral.
GACGAACGCUGGCGGCGUGCUUAACACAUGCAAGUCGAACGGAAAGGCCCUGCUUUUGUGGGGUGCUCGAGUGGCGAACGGGUGAGUAACACGUGAGUAACCUGCCCUUGACUUUGUGAUAACUUCAGGAAACUGGGGCUAAUACCGGAUAGGAGCUCCUGCUGCAUGGUGGGGGUUGGAAAGUUUCGGCGGUUGGGGAUGGACUCGCGGCUUAUCAGCUUGUUGGUGGGGUAGUGGCUUACCAAGGCUUUGACGGGUAGCCGGCCUGAGAGGGUGACCGGCCACAUUGGGACUGAGAUACGGACCAGACUCCUACGGGAGGCAGCAGUGGGGAAUAUUGCAGAAUGGGCGGAAGCCUGAUGCAGCAACGCCGCGUGCGGGAUGACGGCCUUCGGGUUGUAAACAGCUUUCGCCUGUGACGAAGCGUGAGUGACGGUAAUGGGUAAAGAAGCACCGGCUAACUACGUG